Molecule: transfer RNA, 65 nt
Filed under: Comatermes perfectus
Lineage: Eukaryota; Metazoa; Arthropoda; Insecta; Blattodea; Kalotermitidae
Description: tRNA-Trp
Source: RNAcentral
AAGGCUUUAAGUUAAUUAAACUAAUAACCUUCAAAGCUAUAAAUAAAGAAUGUCUUUAAGCCUUA